RNAcentral lists this ribosomal RNA (247 nucleotides) under uncultured bacterium. Its description in RNAcentral is "partial 16S ribosomal RNA". It matches the Rfam family "Bacterial small subunit ribosomal RNA", at positions 15 to 236 of the family's 1533-position model. The record is from RNAcentral.
GAUCCUGGCUCAGGACGAACGCUGGCGGCGUGCUUAACACAUGCAAGUCGAACGAAAAGACGGAAAGGGCUUGCUCUUUUCAGAAUUGAGUGGCAAACGGGUGAGUAACACGUAAACAACCUGCCUUCAGGAUGGGGACAACAGACGGAAACGACUGCUAAUACCGAAUAAGUUCCAAGAGCUGCAUGGCCCAUGGAAGAAAAGGUGGCCUCUACCCGUAAGCUAUCGCCUGAAGAGGGGUUUGCGU